Molecule: ribosomal RNA, 969 nt
Filed under: uncultured bacterium
Lineage: Bacteria
Description: bacterial SSU rRNA
Rfam family: Bacterial small subunit ribosomal RNA
Source: RNAcentral
GUGCGAGCGUUAAUCGGAAUUACUGGGCGUAAAGCGUACGCAGGCGGUCUGUUAAGUCAGAUGUGAAAUCCCCGGGCUUAACCUGGGAACUGCAUUUGAAACUGGCAGGCUAGAGUCUCGUAGAGGGGGGUAGAAUUCCAGGUGUAGCGGUGAAAUGCGUAGAGAUCUGGAGGAAUACCGGUGGCGAAGGCGGCCCCCUGGACGAAGACUGACGCUCAGGUACGAAAGCGUGGGGAGCAAACAGGAUUAGAUACCCUGGUAGUCCACGCUGUAAACGAUGUCGAUUUGAAGGUUGUGGUCUUGAGCCGUGGCUUUCGGAGCUAACGCGUUAAAUCGACCGCCUGGGGAGUACGGCCGCAAGGUUAAAACUCAAAUGAAUUGACGGGGGCCCGCACAAGCGGUGGAGCAUGUGGUUUAAUUCGAUGCAACGCGAAGAACCUUACCUACUCUUGACAUCCAGAGAACUGAGCAGAGAUGCUUAGGUGCCUUCGGGAACUGUGAGACAGGUGCUGCAUGGCUGUCGUCAGCUCGUGUUGUGAAAUGUUGGGUUAAGUCCCGCAACGAGCGCAACCCUUAUCCUUUGUUGCCAGCGAUUCGGUCGGGAACUCAAAGGAGACUGCCGGUGAUAAACCGGAGGAAGGUGGGGAUGACGUCAAGUCAUCAUGGCCCUUACGAGUAGGGCUACACACGUGCUACAAUGGCGCAUACAAAGAGAAGCGAUCUCGCGAGAGUCAGCGGACCUCAUAAAGUGCGUCGUAGUCCGGAUUGGAGUCUGCAACUCGACUCCAUGAAGUCGGAAUCGCUAGUAAUCGUGGAUCAGAAUGCCACGGUGAAUACGUUCUCGGGCCUUGUACACACCGCCCGUCACACCAUGGGAGUGGGUUGCAAAAGAAGUAGGUAGCUUAACCUUAGGGAGGGCGUUUACCACUUUGUGAUUCAUGACUGGGGUGAAGUCGUAACAAGGUAACC